This 336-nucleotide ribosomal RNA is filed under the name uncultured bacterium. RNAcentral describes it as "bacterial SSU rRNA". It matches the Rfam family "Bacterial small subunit ribosomal RNA", at positions 22 to 356 of the family's 1533-position model. The record is from RNAcentral.
GCUCAGGACGAACGCUGGCGGCACGCCUAACACAUGCAAGUCGAACGGACUUAAAAGAGCUUGCUUUUUUAAGUUAGUGGCGGACGGGUGAGUAACACGUGAGCAACCUGCCUCUGAGAGGGGGAUAGCUUCUGGAAACGGAUGGUAAUACCCCAUAAAAUAUAAAUAUCGCAUGAUAGAUAUAUCAAAGAAAUUCGCUCAGAGAUGGGCUCGCGUCUGAUUAGAUAGUUGGUGAGGUAACGGCUCACCAAGUCGACGAUCAGUAGCCGGACUGAGAGGUUGAACGGCCACAUUGGGACUGAGACACGGCCCAGACUCCUACGGGAGGCAGCAGUA